This is a long non-coding RNA of Salvia splendens (bonfire salvia), 1363 nucleotides long. RefSeq lists it as uncharacterized. Lineage: Eukaryota; Viridiplantae; Streptophyta; Magnoliopsida; Lamiales; Lamiaceae. The record is from RefSeq and is a predicted model, not a curated record. The transcript is spliced from 5 exons.
AACUCCAAAAAAUUAAAAUUUCCUGCCCAAUUGAACUUCUUUUCCUUACGUGUAUCCGCCACACAAUUGAUCUUGCAGGCUAACCCGAAAUUCACCUUUAUCAACAGCCACCACGUCCACCGCCUACUUCUCCAAGUAUCCCAAUUUCCGCUUCGAAACGCUCCAACACUCGAGGAGACGUGUUGUAGGGUGGGCCCUGCAGGAGGAGUUGCUGGCCCACCCGUCGGUCGGGGGUUCAAAAAAGAUUCACCUUUUUUGAGGUGUAUUGUAUUCUAAUAAGUUAUUAAUUGAGAAGUGAAGUAUGUAGACAAUGAUACUAUCAUAUCUUUUUUUUGUUCUACUGUGAGCUGUGUGUAAAUUAUUAUUAUGUUGUUGCAAGUAUUAUGUGAGAGCUAUUUGAUGUGGCCUGGUAGGAGAAUUUUAGUGCUGAUGAUGUGGCAGUGAAAAGACUAUGUGAGAGGUUCUACUAUGUGAGAUGUUCUACCCUAUUGGAGAUGCUCUAACUGAUGCUUCAUCUUUUAAUUGUAGGUGGGAACUCAAGCCGAGUAGGCUCAAGGAUAAAAUAAGAUUUUUUCAGUCGCUAAUUACUUCCACAAUCCUUGUCCAAUGCUUACAUUUUAAGAUCGGUAAUUUUGGUGACAUGAGGUGCUGUUGGCUUAGAUACCGGAGAUUAGUUAACAGCAGUGGGAAGGGCGGACAUAGGAGGGGAUGUCCUAGUGACGUGGCAGUGGGAUGGGAAGUCCUAGUGACGUGGCAGGAGGUGUUUUUGGGAUGUCCUAGUGGAUGUCCUAGUGGGAUGUCCGCCCACUGGAGAUGCUCUUUGACACUUUGUUCAGCCAGCGUUUCGCAUAUGGAAAUAUUUUGAAAGUUUUAGGUGGACAAGGUAUUGUCAAGCUAUUCCACCGAGAUGCACAUAAAUGGGCAACAGUAGGAGAAUUAGGUGUGAGGGAGAUGCCAGAGAUGGUUUACGGAGACUGCAGGCAAUGUCUUCCUUUUGUUGAGUGUUGCGGAUGCCUUAGAGGCUAGCGAGAAGCUAAUAACUGCUGAAAAUGAAGCUGAUGUUGCUGAAGCACUACAGGCUGCUGGAUAUGACAAGGCUUGCUUUGAAGCCUGGCAAGGUUUCAAGUCUUGCAAAUUCUAUUCGUGUGCUUGCAAACAUGGAAGAGCCAGUUGGUCGGGUUUUGAAAAGAAUGGAAGUCAGUAUUGCAUCAUAAUUAUAGUAUCGGUUCUUAUCCUCGUGGUACUUUGUUUGUAUAAUAUUGUUUGCAAUUGAUAAGUAGAAAAGUAGGAUGAUCUCAAUUUGUAAACCCUUAAUGAGAAAUGUCACCUUCUAUAUCAUCAGCUUAUGCCAAAAAGAGUAGCA